Molecule: transfer RNA, 63 nt
Filed under: Lepidothrix coronata (blue-crowned manakin)
Lineage: Eukaryota; Metazoa; Chordata; Aves; Passeriformes; Pipridae
Also listed under: 1 other name
Source: Rfam by way of RNAcentral
AUUAGCUCAGUUGGUUAGAGCAUGGUGCUAAUAACAUCAGGAUUAUGGGUUUGAUCCCUGUAU